AUAAGAAAAAUGCAUAAUUUUUUUUUUGGUUUUGACAGAUGCUAAAGUGAAUGGCUUCAGUGCAGCUUGGUGCUGACCCAGAGGAUCCUAAAACUUGAAACCCAAAGAAGGUGGCACUAGACAAUGAAUUCACUUGGAAAAAUCCUCCUCAAAUCACUUUUAUCUAAAUUACCUAAUGUAUCUCACUAUCUGUUUGCUUUGGCUUCCCGGAAUUGGUCCUCUUCCUUUUCUUUCUCUUUCCCAGACACCUUGCAAGUUCCCCCUCUUAUCUCAUGCUGUUUAUAAUUAAUGCUGUCUGACACUUGAUUAUGUGAAGGAAGGACUCAAACUGUGUAAAGUACCUGCUGCCAGUCACCCUGCAGGAAGGGCCACUGGCUGACUAUGAAGCUCCAUUCAUGGUCCAAGGGCUGCGUCUUUCUGCCUUCUAGACCCAAGGACUCUGAAUUUUUACCAACCUUUGGCUACACCUACCAUGUGUUCUAGAUCAGUGUCCAGAUCUGUAAAAUGAGGAUGAUAACACCUUCCCAUUAAUUUACUGUGAGGAGUAAAUAGAAUCAUUUAUGUAAAGUAUCUAGCACAAUGUCCAGCCCUAAGUAUCGAAUAAACAUUAACCAUUAUUGUCAUCAUCA
RNAcentral lists this long non-coding RNA (629 nucleotides) under Marmota monax (woodchuck). Lineage: Eukaryota; Metazoa; Chordata; Mammalia; Rodentia; Sciuridae. The record is from RNAcentral.